This 492-nucleotide ribosomal RNA is filed under the name uncultured bacterium. RNAcentral's name for it is "partial 16S ribosomal RNA". It matches the Rfam family "Bacterial small subunit ribosomal RNA", at positions 29 to 507 of the family's 1533-position model. The record is from RNAcentral.
AGUGAACGCUGGCGGUGGGCCUAACACAUGCAAGUCGAACGGCAGCACAGUAAGUGCUUGCUCUUAUGGGGGGCGAGUCGCGGACGGGUGAGGAAUACAUCGGAAUCUACUUUUUCGUGGGGGUUAACGUAGGUAGACUUACUCUAGUAUCGCAUACGACCUAGGGUUGAAAGCAGGGGAUCUUCUGACCGGGCGGGGUUGGAUGAGCGGAUGUCGGGUUUGUUAGUUGGGCGGUUAAAUGCCCACGAAGUCGAGGAUCGGUAGCUGGUCUGAGAGGAUGGUAGGCCACCCUGGAACUGAGCCACGGACCAGACUCCUACGAGAGGCAGCAGUGGGGAAUGUGAGACAAUGGGGGCGAGCCUGAUCCAACCGUACCGCGUGGGUGAAGAAGGCCUUCGGGUUGUAAAGACGUUUUGUUGGGAAAGAACAGCAGCAGGCUAAUACCCCGCUGUUCUGACGGUACCCAAAGAAUAAGCACCGGCUAACUUCGUG